This 253-nucleotide ribosomal RNA is filed under the name uncultured bacterium. RNAcentral describes it as "partial 16S ribosomal RNA". It matches the Rfam family "Bacterial small subunit ribosomal RNA", at positions 524 to 776 of the family's 1533-position model. The record is from RNAcentral.
UACGGGGGGAGCAAGCGUUGUUCGGAUUUACUGGGCGUAAAGGGCGCGUAGGCGGAUCUUUAAGUCGGGGGUGAAAGCCCAGGGCUCAACCCUGGAAUUGCCUUCGAUACUGAAGAUCUCGAGACCGGAAGAGGUAAGUGGAACUGCGAGUGUAGAGGUGAAAUUCGUAGAUAUUCGCAAGAACACCAGUGGCGAAGGCGGCUUACUGGUCCGGUUCUGACGCUGAGGCGCGAAAGCGUGGGGAGCAAACAGG